RNAcentral lists this ribosomal RNA (469 nucleotides) under uncultured bacterium. RNAcentral describes it as "partial 16S ribosomal RNA". It matches the Rfam family "Bacterial small subunit ribosomal RNA", at positions 28 to 507 of the family's 1533-position model. The record is from RNAcentral.
GACGAACGCUGGCGGCGUGCUUAACACAUGCAAGUCGAACGGAAAGGCCCUGCUUGCCGGGUGCUCGAGUGGCGAACGGGUGAGUAACACGUGGGUGAUCUGCCCCUUACUUUGGGAUAAGCCCGGGAAACUGGGUCUAAUACUGGAUAGGACCAUGCUGUAGGUGGUGUGGUGGAAAGAUUAGUUUCGGUAAGGGAUGAGCUCGCGGCCUAUCAGCUUGUUGGUGGGGUAAUGGCCUACCAAGGCGUCGACGGGUAGCCGGCCUGAGAGGGUGGACGGCCACAUUGGGACUGAGAUACGGCCCAGACGCCUACGGGAGGCAGCAGUGGGGAAUAGUGCACAAUGGGCGCAAGCCGGAUGCAGCGACGCCGCGUGGGGGAUGACGGCCUUCGGGUUGUAAACUCCUUUCAGCCAUGACGAAGCCCUUGUGGUGACGGUAGUGGUAGAAGAAGCACCGGCUAACUACGUG